GAUGAACGCUGGCGGCGUGCCUAACACAUGCAAGUCGAGCGAUUCUCUUCGGAGAAGAGCGGCGGACGGGUGAGUAACGCGUGGGUAACCUGCCCUAUACACACGGAUAACGUACCGAAAGGUACGCUAAUACGAGAUAAUAUGCUUUAGUCGCAUGGCUGAAGUAUCAAAGCUCCGGCGGUAUAGGAUGGACCCGCGUCUGAUUAGCUAGUUGGUAAGGUAAUGGCUUACCAAGGCGACGAUCAGUAGCCGACCUGAGAGGGUGAUCGGCCACAUUGGAACUGAGACACGGUCCAAACUCCUACGGGAGGCAGCAGUGGGGAAUAUUGCACAAUGGGCGAAAGCCUGAUGCAGCAACGCCGCGUGAGCGAUGAAGGCCUUCGGGUCGUAAAGCUCUGUCCUCAAGGAAGAUAAUGACGGUACUUGAGGAGGAAGCCCCGGCUAACUACGUGCCAGCCGCCGCCGUAA
This 468-nucleotide ribosomal RNA is filed under the name uncultured bacterium. Its description in RNAcentral is "partial 16S ribosomal RNA". It matches the Rfam family "Bacterial small subunit ribosomal RNA", at positions 28 to 523 of the family's 1533-position model. The record is from RNAcentral.